Molecule: long non-coding RNA, 911 nt
Organism: Gopherus flavomarginatus (Mexican gopher tortoise)
Lineage: Eukaryota; Metazoa; Chordata; Testudines; Testudinidae
Exons: 3
Source: RefSeq, a predicted model, not a curated record
CAGAUCUCCUAGGGAACUACAGCUCCCGGCAUGCUUGGCUUCGUUGGGCACUCCGAGUUGAGAGGUUUUGGAUGGAUGGAGUGCAACCUUAACUGCCUCGAGAUGUAGUUUUUGUUUGGUAAUGGAAAUAAGUUGGUAUAAAUCACAGAAGUUCGAGAUGCAAAAGACCUGUUAGGUCAUGUACUCAUCCCCCUUAACCACUGCAGGAUUCUUCCCUAUGAGCUCUACCGAGAUGCACCAGCUUCUUCCAUCUCACUAGCAGAACUGGGGAAAUCUAUUUGCAUGCAGGGCCGGCUCCAGGCACCAGCAUCCCAAGCAGGUGCUUGGGGCGGCAAUCUGCAAGGGGCAGCAGUCCAUGUGUUUUUGCCCCCAAGCAGCGCGCUGAAUUGCCGCCGCGGACGGCGGGCGCAGUCCAUGUGCCUUUAGGGCAGCACGUGCGUUUCCGCAGUGGCGACAGCUUUUAUGUUCAGCUGUCCGGCUAAAGACAGAAGCUGCCUCCGAAUUGCCACUGCGGCGGAAAUGCGCAUGCCGCCUAACGGCACAUGGACAGCCCCCGCCGUCCACGGCCACAAUUCGGCGCGCUGCUUGUGGCGGCAAAAACAGUAGAGCUGGUCCUGUUUGCAUGCCAAGAGCAGCACGGACUGGGCACAAGAAUUCUGCAUCUACAAUGGUUAGCUGUGUGACAGAGUGGUUGCCAUUAAUAAAGAAAAAUGGAAUGAAGAGGAUGUGCAGUGUACAUUGUGUUGUGUACAUUAUUCUUCAGUUUACUGUGUGAGAAGUUUGAGUUUACAAAGGGAGUAAAAACUCUGCAUUAAUCUUGCUAUCUACUAAAUUUAUUAAGUUUUGGAAAGUGUGUCAGUAUCUCAUUUGUCUAAAUUGAAAAAUGCAGUGAUAGGCAUGUUGCAGUCAAA